GACGAUCAGUUGUCAAUUGUAAUCUCUCCACUCCCAGAUUAAACCCCACAGGUGGCAGUUGCAAUGUCCAUGCCCACCGUCGCCGCCGCCGUCACCGCCGCCGUCACCGUCACGUCACCGGCCGUAUUCUUUCUCGGCGCACGGUAAUUCGAGGAUGACUACUGUAUUGGUUAAUGUGCUCCGGCUAUGGUGGUGGGAGUUAUAUGAAGUUAAUUGGAUGUGGAAAUUCUUCAUCGGAUGGCUAUUUCCAGAUUGUAAGCCAUUAAAUUUACUGUUUUGGUGAAUUAUUUGAAAAUGCAAUUGCCUUUAAUUUCUCUAUGCCUUUUUUUGAUAGCAAAAUUUCGAGUACUUUGGUCGAAUUAAUUGGGCAACCUCAUACAUACCUAAUUGAACUCUUGGGAGAUUCAUAUUUGCCUGUGAAUAAUUUUAUCAAUGUAUAAGUAUAAGUGAUUAUAUGAUAAUACCGUAAAUUUUUCAAAUGUUGCAAUUUCUAUUGUCAUAUAUUAAUUUUUACGUUUAUAGAACAAUGUCUUAGGUUGUAUGCCUUACAAUCCUGUCUGCGUGGCUAUCCUGCUUGUCAUACUGGUUACGUUUAUAGAACAAUUGCUGCUCCUUAUUUAGAACUCAUAUUGUCUAUAGGAAAUGGUUCCUGCUAAUUUUACUUCUCAUUGUUUGAAGGAAUAUGGGGCAUGAUCGAGACCUGGCGAGAGAUGUAUUUUCAGUAUCAGGUAAUAUUUUAAUCUGGAUAUUGAAGCCUAGUCUUGGUGCUUAUUGAGUUUAUAUUUUUGGAAUAUGGGGCAUGAUCGAAAAGUGCUUUAUCUGAUAAUAUUUAUAUGAAAGAGCAUAUAUCGCAUAAAUGACUGCGUGGGUAAAUGCUUUUAUUGGCGGGGUUUCCCGCAAAUAAAUUUUACCCUACCCUCCCUACUCCCUAUUCCCAUUCUACUUUCUCACACAUUCUCUGCAUCUCUAAAUCCAUUCUACUUUCUCACACAUUCUCUGCAUCUCUAAAUCCCUGUUCAAUUUUCGAUCUCCAUCUCCUCAUUUUCUCUUAUCAAAGGUUCAAACUCAGAGGAAAAGUUGUUGAAACUCCAAUAAUUGAAAUGGUCAGGAUAUGCAUUUUAUAGAAGGAGAUAUUCGUAAAAUGUUAGUUGUACUGUUGGCUUGAAAUGAGAAGAAAUGCUUUAUAUUCUUCUACGUAUUUUAUUGAAAUAGAGAUCCUUUCCAUGUAUCAUAUAUAAUACAUUCAUUUUAUUGUCACGCCUCUUAUUAUUGGCUAGUUUUCGUUCUCUUAAGUUCGUUUUUUUAAUUCAUUACAAUUUUAUUUGCUAUGCAGAAUCUAAAUAGAGAAUAAUGAUGUUGGCUAAGAGCGAUCAAGACUGAGAUGAAAUGCCAAAAAUACCAAAGAGCAAUCAGUUUUCAGCAUUACCAAAGUAAGUUUGGUACAAUUUACUAGUGGUUCGGGUUUUGUUAAUGAAAUGCCAAAGAAAAAUCUCUAUAUUUUUUUACAGAAUAUUCAAUUCUACCUAAUCUAGAGGAAUUUAUGAACCAAACCUAGUUGUUUGGUUUUAGUAUUAAGUUUAGCAAAAUGCAAACUGAUAUUUCUGUUUGCUAAUGUUGGGUUUUAUGAAUGGACAGGCCUAUUAGCAGUGGAUAUUGGGCUUAGAUACUCUCUCAGAUCUCCAAGAAAUGGCUAAUGAAGAGUCCACAAAACAUAGUAAGG
RNAcentral lists this long non-coding RNA (1720 nucleotides) under Erythranthe guttata (spotted monkey flower). RNAcentral's name for it is "long non-coding RNA (EGUT_LNC000807)". Lineage: Eukaryota; Viridiplantae; Streptophyta; Magnoliopsida; Lamiales; Phrymaceae. The record is from RNAcentral.